GGCUAAGAAUUAUCACAUGCAAAGAAAAAACUACACACAAAUUAGGGAGCUUUCAGCUACCAACAGAAGAAACCUAAGACUCCUCCAGUUUUAACAACAGCCUCCUGUUUCUGACAAUUUCUUGUCACACAAUUUUAAAAAGUGGAAGUCACAGAUUUAUUUUUUUUAAUCCUUUUCACAGAAUAUGAUUUGAAUGACACCAUUUGCUUUCCAAGCUUGAUCAUCAGAUGCACAAAGAAAGGCAUCAGGUACUAAUAGAUUCUUGGACAGGUUUUUCUUCAUCAUCAUCUUCUGCGGGUUCUUCUUCCUUUUCUUCUACUUUCUCUGCCUCAGGGAGAAGUCCAUCAAGGUUCAAUAGUAAGCCCUCACUGGUUGAAGAUCUAAUAACCAGCUUCUUCACAAAGGGACCAGCACUUGAUGGUUUGAACUUGCAGAUAUCCUCAAUAAUUGUUUUUAGAUUGGCAACUAUCUGUUCAGUAGGCAUAUCCAGUCUUGCUAUCCUCGUCUUGAUUAGACGCUCAUCUUGGACCGUGUACUCAAGACCUUCCCUGAAGAACUGUAGCAUUUUGGGAAUAUCAUGGCCCAGGGAAUUUCUUCUCGUGCUGGGGUAUUUUCGUUUUAGCUUGUUCCUCAAUGGGAUCAGCUUAGGUAUUAUUGCAGGAACAGCUAUGUAGAAAUCCAUUUGAAUUUCAUCUUCCAAAAUCCAUUUGAUUAAUUCAACACCUCCCACAACAGCAGCUCCAUUCUCUCGAGCUAUUUCAGCUUCUUGCUCAUUCUCUGUGAAAACCAAGACCUUAUUCGUUUCAUCUGUAAAGCGGUAUGGAAGAAGAACAAUGCUUGCAAACUGAUCCACCUUUUUCUUCUUUGGUAGUUCCAUAUCUAGGGUCACAUUAAUAUACACAAACUGUUUUGGGUAGGUGAAGUCCAGUUCCUGAAAUUUCUUUAACAUACCCACAGCUUCUUCUACAUUGUAGGAUGGUCGCUUGUAGUACCACGUCAAGUACACAUCAUCCACAGGCUUGCUCAGCAGUGGCCGCCUGCCACGUCCUUUUUUCUUCUGAGUUUCUUCCUGCUUGGCCUUCUGUGAAUCUCUUUUUGCAUUUUUGGCGGCCGCGGCGUAGAGGCGGGCGGGCGGCGCGGCGCUCAGCGGUGCGGCGGCGGGACGCUGCUGGAGGCCGGGCAAGGCCCACCGGCGGCACGGGGUCAGCACUCGCCGCAGUAACAGGCCGGCGGGAGCCGCCAUCUUGAGCAGCC
Molecule: long non-coding RNA, 1254 nt
Filed under: Gallus gallus (chicken)
Lineage: Eukaryota; Metazoa; Chordata; Aves; Galliformes; Phasianidae
Source: RNAcentral